AGAUUAAACAAAGUGGUUUUUGAGGAAUAGUAAUUGGUUGGCAGAACACAGGAUUGAAUAGAAUAAGGAAGAUAUUAAAAGAUUAAGAGACUGUUUAGAAGGCCCCAACUACAGAAGAUAAGAGGGCAUAGGAAAAGUUUUUCCUCUCUACAAGCCAAAAGUCGCAAGGCUAAUAUUUACUCCCCUGAUUCUCUCCUCCAGAGCCCACACCCUUCAUCACUACUGAUAAAGGUUCAAAUAUGUUUUUCAAAUCUGGCAUUCAUGGUUGCUACUGCACUGGAAUAAUGGUAACAACAGGCUGAUGAGAAUCUUAAGUGGCACUUACUCAGUGGAGUAAUUGGAAGCGGCAAUGGUUAUACAAAUGAAUGCCCCUCAGAGGGAAGAAGGAGAGAUUUGCCUUGAAACUGCGGCUGUAAAAAGUUAGUGCUGGUAAGUGAAGAAACAGAAACUAAGUGAUAGAGAAUGGGAACUAAGGUAGAAAUAACUAACAAAGAUCACUGUGCAGAACCGUAGUGGUGUUCAGAGUAGAUGCGCAAGUCCAUAUGCAUGUAGCAAAUACAAGUCUCAACCCACAA
RNAcentral lists this long non-coding RNA (575 nucleotides) under Homo sapiens (human). Its description in RNAcentral is "HSALNT0113671". The record is from RNAcentral. Lineage: Eukaryota; Metazoa; Chordata; Mammalia; Primates; Hominidae.